CGGUAAUUCCAGCUCCAAUAGCGUAUACUAAAGUUGUUGCAGUUAAAAAGCUCGUAGUUGGAUUUCUGCGGGGACGGAGCGGCCGGUCGCAACUUGCGACUCGAGCUAGCGCUUUCCCCGCAUCCUGCCGCGAACCGUGCUACCAUUAGCUUGGUGGCGCUGGGGAUCGGCUCGAUUACUUUGAGAAAAAUAGAGUGUUCAAAGCAGGCCACACGCCUUGAAUAAGUUAGCAUGGAAUAAUGACUAAGGACUUUGGUUCUUUUCGUUGGUGUUCGGGACUGAAGUAAUGAUUGAUAGGGACAGUUGGGGCGGUCCGUAUUCCAAAGCGAGAGGUGAAAUUCUUAGACCUUCGGAAGACGAACAGCUGCGAAAGCGUUCCGCAAGGAUGUUCCCUUUGAUCAAGAACGAAAGUUGGGGGAUCGAAGACGAUCAGAUACCGUCGUAGUCUCAACUAUAAACUAUACCAGCUAGGGAUCGGCCAACGUUUAAUUAUUCGACUUGGUCGGCACCUUAUGAGAAAUCAAAGCAUCUGGGUUCCGGGGGGAGUAUGGUCGCAAGGCUGAAACUUAAAGGAAUUGACGGAAGGGCACCACCAGCCGUGGAGCCUGUGGCUUAAUUUGACUCAACACGGGAAAACUUACCAGGUCCGGACAUAGUAAGGAUUGACAGAUUGAUAGCUCUUUCUUGAUUCUGUGGGUGGUGGUGCAUGGCCGUUUUUAGUCGGUGGAUGUGAUCUGUCUGCUUAAUUGCGUUAACGGACGAGACCCCAGCCUGCUAAAUAGCGCGGCCGAGCUUUGCUCGGUGCGAGCUUCUUAGAGGGACCAUGAUGCGCGAUAGCACAAGGAAGUUUGGGGCAACAACAGGUCUGUGAUGCCCUUAGAUGUUCUGGGCCGCACACGGGCUACACUGGCGCCUGCAACGAGCAUAUCAGCUGGCCCGAGAGGGUCUUGGCUAAUCUUUGGAACCGGCGCCGUGCUUGGGAUUGACCAUUGCAAUUGUUGGUCAUGCAACGAGGAAUGCCUUGUAAACGCGAGUCAUCAGCUCGCAUUGAAUACGUCCCUGCCCUUUGUACACACCGCCCGUCGCUCCUACCGAUGAAUGUUCCGAUGAAAUUUUCGGAGAGCACCAGAGAACGGGGCUCUGCCUUGCAGAUCUGGAGGCUCAAAGUCACUUAAAUCUGAACAUUUCGAGGAAGGAGAAGUCGUAACAAGGUAGCCG
Molecule: ribosomal RNA, 1218 nt
Filed under: uncultured Rhizaria
Lineage: Eukaryota
Description: SSU rRNA
Rfam family: Eukaryotic small subunit ribosomal RNA
Source: RNAcentral